GAACUUGUGUAUGUUCUAUCACGUUCAUCAUCAACACAUUUAAUUAAUUGUGACAUGACCAUUGACCAAGUAGCUAGGUGGCACACAUGACAAUCACAAGUUUUUACAGUACGGUAACGAUCUCUCUCAUGGCCAUAAACUGCACCGAGUUUGACUGGGCUUGAGCACUGCUAGUAGUGGCAAGUAUAA
Long non-coding RNA from Panicum virgatum (switchgrass), 189 nucleotides. RefSeq lists it as uncharacterized. Lineage: Eukaryota; Viridiplantae; Streptophyta; Magnoliopsida; Poales; Poaceae. The record is from RefSeq and is a predicted model, not a curated record. The transcript has 2 exons.